AAUAGAUACCCGGGUAGUCCACGCCCUAAACGAUGCUCACUAGGUGUUGGGGAAGCGAUUCCUUGGUACCGUAGCUAACGCGUGAAGUGAGCCGCCUGAGGAGUACGGCCGCAAGGUUAAAACUCAAAGGAAUUGACGGGGACCCGCACAAGCGGUGGAUGAUGUGGAUUAAUUCGAUGCAACGCGAACAACCUUACCUACCCUUGACAUGUCCGGAAGCCUGCUGAAAGGCGGGGGUGCUCGAAAGAGAACCGGAACACAGGUGCUGCAUGGCUGUCGUCAGCUCGUGUCGUGAGAUGUUGGGUUAAGUCCCGCAACGAGCGCAACCCUUGUCCCUAGUUGCUACGCAAGGGCACUCUAGGGAGACUGCCGGUGACAAACCGGAGGAAGGUGGGGAUGACGUCAAGUCCUCAUGGCCCUUAUGGGUAGGGCUUCACACGUCAUACAAUGGACGGUACAGAGGGUUGCCAACCCGGCGAGGGGGAGCCAAUCCCAGAAAGCCGUUCGUAGUCCGGAUCGCAGUCUGCAACUCGACUGCGUG
RNAcentral lists this ribosomal RNA (541 nucleotides) under uncultured bacterium. RNAcentral's name for it is "bacterial SSU rRNA". It matches the Rfam family "Bacterial small subunit ribosomal RNA", at positions 777 to 1322 of the family's 1533-position model. The record is from RNAcentral.